AUGAUUCAAAUUGAAAUCGAGAAGGAGAAGAAGGGUACCGAUCCGAAUAGGGGAGACAUCGACGACUAUGGCACUUCCAUCAGUUUUCCGGUGGUGUCCAAUUUCACGGUGUUUUUUUGCGAGCUUAUGUUUCAUGACUGCAAGAUUUAUCAGUCUGCCUUUGAGUUAGGUCAUCUUGAAGUGAGAAACUCAUGUCUCAUUAGCAGUCUGCACGAAUAA
This is a non-coding RNA of Vicia faba (fava bean), 219 nucleotides long. NCBI's taxonomy places the organism in Eukaryota, Viridiplantae, Streptophyta, Magnoliopsida, Fabales, Fabaceae. The record is from the annotation of a GenBank genome assembly.